RNAcentral lists this non-coding RNA (26 nucleotides) under Mus musculus (house mouse). Lineage: Eukaryota; Metazoa; Chordata; Mammalia; Rodentia; Muridae. The record is from RNAcentral.
UGCCAGGCCAGGUCCAUAUGCAGCCA